AACGAACGCUGGCGGCAUGCCUAACACAUGCAAGUCGAACGAGAUCUUCGGGUCUAGUGGCGCACGGGUGCGUAACGCGUGGGAAUCUGCCCUUUGGUUCGGAAUAACAGUUGGAAACGACUGCUAAUACCGGAUGAUGACGAAAGUCCAAAGAUUUAUCGCCAGAGGAUGAGCCCGCGUAGGAUUAGCUAGUUGGUGUGGUAAAGGCGCACCAAGGCGACGAUCCUUAGCUGGUCUGAGAGGGUGAUCAGCCACACUGGGACUGAGACACGGCCCAGACUCCUACGGGAGGCAGCAGUGGGGAAUAUUGGACAAUGGGCGAAAGCCUGAUCCAGCAAUGCCGCGUGAGUGAUGAAGGCCUUAGGGUUGUAAAGCUCUUUUACCCGGGAUGAUAAUGACAGUACCGGGAGAAUAAGCUCCGGCUAACUCCGUGCCAGCAGCCGCAGUAA
RNAcentral lists this ribosomal RNA (449 nucleotides) under uncultured bacterium. RNAcentral describes it as "partial 16S ribosomal RNA". It matches the Rfam family "Bacterial small subunit ribosomal RNA", at positions 29 to 523 of the family's 1533-position model. The record is from RNAcentral.